Molecule: long non-coding RNA, 308 nt
Organism: Triticum aestivum (bread wheat)
Lineage: Eukaryota; Viridiplantae; Streptophyta; Magnoliopsida; Poales; Poaceae
Exons: 3
Source: RefSeq, a predicted model, not a curated record
AGAAAAGAUGUAGCCACGGUGGUCACCAAGGGGAGGCAUGCGGCGCGGGGCUGGAGACGGACGUCAGGCGGAGACACCCCAUGGGGAAAAGAGGUCGGCCCUCCGCAUAACGAUCACAGAUGGCUGCCUAGCUAUAACUUAGCUAAUCCGCAAGUAUCCUGGUGGAUCAAGAUUCAAGACUGAACCAACGAACAUGCUUACUGCAGAAAAGCUGUGGAUCUUCACAUAGUGACGACAUGAUGUAGUAAGGAAGGUAGGCAUGUGUCCUAAAAAAAGGGAAGGUAGGCAUGUAAUAUAUUUCAGUGAGA